UCUCCCAUCCAAGUACUUACCAGGCCCAGCCCCGCUUAGCUUCCAAGAUUAGACGAGAUCAGGCACGUUCAGGUUGGU
This 78-nucleotide small RNA is filed under the name Cricetulus griseus (Chinese hamster). Lineage: Eukaryota; Metazoa; Chordata; Mammalia; Rodentia; Cricetidae. The record is from RNAcentral.